Lolium rigidum is the source of this 235-nucleotide long non-coding RNA. RefSeq lists it as uncharacterized. Lineage: Eukaryota; Viridiplantae; Streptophyta; Magnoliopsida; Poales; Poaceae. The transcript has 3 exons. The record is from RefSeq and is a predicted model, not a curated record.
ACAAAGAUUGGAGAAGCUGCUAGGACACUUCAUAUAAACUAAAGAUUCAAGUUUUCAUGUUCGGUAACAGUACACCAGUUGGGCAAUUUGGAUCAUGUUAUGCUCAGUGAAUUUUGUCUAUGCGCAGGUUAAAGACUCUCAAAUUGAUUUUAAACUUCUACCCAAACUUCGAAUUAUUUCAUUAUUGGAUGUUUUCAUCUGCAUAAAUCGAAGCAAGGGGGAGAUGAAGGAGGUU